CUCUCUCUGUGUCGAUGCUGAGAAUGAACCAGUCUUGCUUUGUCCUCCCAAAUGCAUCAACCUACACACAACUAGUGUUCACUGCAAGCUUAUGGUAAAGAACGAGUAAACUACAAAGCAAGUUUCCUCCUUGACAUGUUUAAGUAAAACCUCACUGAUGAGACCUGGGAAUGGAGCACAGUGACAGAGCACUUACCUAGCAUAUGGAGGCCUUAGGUUUCAUUCCCAGCAAUGCAAAAACAAGCAAAUAAAAAUUAAAAUCUCCAAAGCAUUCACUAAUUAAAAUGUGCUUUGCUCACAUAGAAACUGAACACAUGUAAUAACGUAUUUGAAAACAGGGCAUCAAAGUAUCUCCUAUGUCUACUAUAGUCUAAUAACUUAGCUAAAGUUCUCACUUAGGUGUUCUCCAUUUUUCAACAGUUACUGGGCAACUGCUAAGCUCUGGGCACUUGAGCUAGAGCCAGAACUUUUCCUCAGGUUGCUCAAGGUUUAGUUACAGGUAAGUUUCUAGAACGAGGCAGGAUGUGGACUCUGGUGCUGUGGGGAAGGUCAAAGGCAAGUGGAGUGUGAUAUCAAGUCUCCAAGCUCAAGCCCUGGUACCUCUAUAGAGAAGACACUGAGCUGGGUGCUGGUGGCUCACGGCUACAAUCUUAGCUACUCAGGAACUGAGAUCUGAGAUUCAAGGUUCAAAGCCA
Molecule: long non-coding RNA, 695 nt
Organism: Perognathus longimembris pacificus (Pacific pocket mouse)
Lineage: Eukaryota; Metazoa; Chordata; Mammalia; Rodentia; Heteromyidae
Exons: 3
Source: RefSeq, a predicted model, not a curated record